This 407-nucleotide ribosomal RNA is filed under the name uncultured bacterium. RNAcentral describes it as "partial 16S ribosomal RNA". It matches the Rfam family "Bacterial small subunit ribosomal RNA", at positions 28 to 526 of the family's 1533-position model. The record is from RNAcentral.
GACGAACGCUGGCUGCGUGCCUAAUACAUGCAAGUAGGACGCAGUUGCGAACGGGUGAGUAACGCGUAGGUAACUACCUGUUAGAGGGUGAUAACUAUUUGAAACGAGAGCUAAAACCGCAUACUUGUAGAUGGACCUGCGUUGUAUUCGCUAGGAGGUAGGGUAAUGGCCUAACUAGGCAACGAUGAAUAGCCGAACGUAGAGGGUGAUCUGCCAGACUGGGACUGAGACACGUCCCAGACUCCUACGGGAGGCAGCAGUAGGGAAUGUUCGGAUAUGGGGGGAACCUUGACCGAGCAACGCCGCGGGAGUGAAGAAGGUUUUCGGAGCGUAAAGCUCUGUUGUUAAGGAAGCGGUACUUAACCAGAAAGGGACGGCUAACUACGUGCCAGCAGCCGCGGUAAUUC